AUAUAUAUUGCUAUCACCUAAGUAGUUUUUCUUGCUUAGCAUAAGUUGUUGGUGCACAUAGGUGAGCCUAGUUGUUGUAGGUUUUGUGCUUGACAAAUUAACUGCUAGGUUUCUUCCGCAUUUGUUCAAGCCUAAACCGUAAUUAUUUUAAAGCGCCUAUUCAACCCCCCCCCCCCUCUAGGCGACAUCCACGAUCUUUCAGCAUAUAUCUUCAGUAUUUUGUCAGUUUCCUUAACCUAGUACGUCUAAUACCAUUUUUUGCCUGCCCAAGUAAAGUGCUAACAUCAUGAAAAUAUAAGAGUGUCUUUCUGUUUGCCUUUCUGUUUUAACUGAUCUUUUGUGUUGUGUAUGUCAAAUCCCAACAGUUGUCGACAGAGGCAUAUCACAUGCCUGGGUUUGGCUGUAAGCAUGUUAUUUGCGGAAUGGAAUACUGUUUUACUUACAUGGAGUGGAAGAGAUGGCUGGUUUUGAUGUUAUUUUUUAUUGACUGAAUACAGAUUUGUUCUGUUUUUUAGACUUCAGACAUGAAGUAGUGGGCACGCCUCCUCUGACAUAGUUUGUUAUACUUCUUAUUAGUAUUAUUCAGUAUACUUCUUAUUAGUAUUAUUCAGUAUUAUUCAGAGUAAAGAGCCCGUUGAGCCAACAGGGGGUUGUUUGCAACACCUAACAAACGAAUGUCAGUACGCAUAUAUGUUGAUUUUUGGGUUUGUUGUUUUGUUUGAAGUGAGCAACAACCAAAUCAUAUAGUGUGUUUUCUAAGCUAGCUUCCUAAAGUGAUUACUUCAGCCUAGCUUGUGGUUGUUGUUUCUUAUCCGAAACAUUUUUUUGUGCUAGGGGGUGGGGGUGGGGAUGGCAGAGGUGUUUAGUUGAUGAACAAUGAUGAUAUGCAGUUUGUUGAGUAUUUAAUUUUUCAGAGCUGACUCUGUAAUUUAAGUCACUGUAAAUUGAUUUUGUAAGUUUUCAGAGUUGACUCUGUAAAUCAAGCCAGCAAACUGUUAUCUGCCCGUCAAACAAAUCCCAGUCCUUUUUUGUGUCUAACAUCAUUGUUCGUGCCCGAUAAACUAAUAUUUUUUUAGAGCAUACAUCAUGUGUUUUUCAGUUUUUCUAUUUUGUUCAGAGAGCAUGCAUUUUUAUAUUCAGAGAGUGCGUCUAACCAGUUAGUAUUCAGAGAGGAUCAUGUUUUUUUUAUUUUUUAUUUCCUCAAGCUAUUUAUGUCUAAUGCUUUUGCCUGCCCAACUAUAAGUGCACCAUCAGUGCAACAUAUAGAGACCAGUAACUCUACAGAAUCAUUUCAGCCAGCUGACAAACGAGGAGGAUCAGUCAAUGUUCAGAUAGUUUGAAACAUGAUUUUCAGUAAUAUUCAGUAAUCUGUUUUUUUAUCAGAGAGUUGACCAUCAGUCAAUGUUCAGAGUUUUUCAACUCAUGAGUAAAUGCUUAGAGAGGAUGACUUGAUCUUUUUUCCUUUCCUAGUAGUAAUCUCAGCUUUGUAAAUAGUCAAUGUUCUGGUUUAAUUAGUACUGUAGUUUUUCUCAAUGUACACAUAACUUUUUUUUAACUUAGGUUCUUUUUUUGUGUUUUUUUUUAAACAUGAGCUUUUAAACAAAGAUACAAUUCCAGAGCCUUUGGAGUCAAACAACAACAGUCAAAAUGAUGGUUCAGGGGAUGAUAGCAUGGAUGAGCAAGAGGAGCAAAGUAUAGUCGAUAUGACAGAAUCAGAUGCAUCAGACGGCAUGCUGAUCGAUGGCCUGAGAACAUUUUUACAGAAAAGACAAGAGAGGAAGCAGGAGAGGAGUGCUUUGAAAGAGAAAAGGAAGAAGAGGACAAGGCCAGAGAAAGGAAAAGCCAAAGGGCACAUGAACAAAGGAAGAGCAACUGCAUACAGCAGGUUUAGCAUUGGAUAUUUCGCGAAGAUUGUUGAUGUUGUGUGCCAAAGCAAUCAUAGGAUGGAGGUUGUGAGGAACGGCGGUUUUGGAUACUUGCUCGAGCUAGAAGAUUGCUAUGUUCCAAGGCCUUUUGCUCGAGUUAGAGUCCUCCAACCAUUUGUAUAUGCCAACUGACGAAGAUAAUGGGUCUGGAAGUACUGUUAGAGUUGAUUCCAAUGGGAUUGAGAUAAACAGUGGCGUGUUUUUGAAUCAUUUUUUUCAUUCUUUUUCUUCUAAUUCUUUGCUUGUUUUUUAAUUUACAUGACAACCCCCCUAUAUUGUUGACAGAUGGAAGAGGCAGGAAGAAGAGAAUGAAGACUAGUACACAGCAGUCAGAAACUUCAACAACUAAGGACAAUAUAUUGGAAGUUAAAAUAAAGGAAAGCAGACUUGAAGCAGCUGUGGAAGGAGGGGAAGCUGAAAUGCAGUCAGUACCGGGCAAUGGUCACACGAAAGAGCUCGAAAAAGAAGCUUUAAUGGAACAAACCAUGCAGAAUAGCAACGUCGCAACACAGCAACCAGAGAUGAAUAUGCUUGAUGCAGAUACCAAUUUUCCCAAGUGCAAUGCUAGUGAUUGUUCGACUCAAAAAGAAGCACCUGAAAAGAGCACUAGCCUGAACUACAUGUUGUUAUCAGCUAGAUUGGCAAGAGCACUUGAAAC
RNA transcript from Triticum aestivum (bread wheat), 2583 nucleotides. RefSeq lists it as uncharacterized. Lineage: Eukaryota; Viridiplantae; Streptophyta; Magnoliopsida; Poales; Poaceae. The transcript has 5 exons. The record is from RefSeq and is a predicted model, not a curated record.